This 441-nucleotide ribosomal RNA is filed under the name uncultured bacterium. Its description in RNAcentral is "partial 16S ribosomal RNA". It matches the Rfam family "Bacterial small subunit ribosomal RNA", at positions 338 to 795 of the family's 1533-position model. The record is from RNAcentral.
CCUACGUGUGGCAGCAGUGGGGAAUAUUGCACAAUGGGGGAAACCCUGAUGCAGCAACGCCGCGUGAGUGAAGAAGGUUUUCGGAUUGUAAAGCUCUGUUAGCAGGGAAGAGGGAGGGCGGUACCUGCAGAGGAAGCCACGGCUAACUACGUGCCAGCAGCAGCGGUAAACCGGAGGUGGCAAGCGUUGUUAGGACUAACUGGGCGUAAAGGAUGCGUAGGCGGUUAGUCAAGUUAUAUGUGAAAUAUACAGGCUGAACCUGUGGAAAGCAUAUAAAACUGUUUAACUAGAGUGCAGGAGAGGGAAGUGGAAUUCCUAGUGUAGCGGUGAAAUGCGUAGAGAUUAGGAAGAACACCAGUGGCGAAGGCGACUUACUGGACUGUAACUGACGCUGAGGCAUGAGAGCAUGGGGAGCAAACAGGAUUAGAUACCCCUGUAGUC